RNAcentral lists this ribosomal RNA (469 nucleotides) under uncultured soil bacterium. RNAcentral describes it as "partial 16S ribosomal RNA". The record is from RNAcentral.
CAUAAUUUCAUUUCGAUUCCUUCCUUUUAGCAUUCUUAUUCAAACAAGCCAAGGACAUGGGGCUGGACGAAAUAGAUGAAAGCAAGAAGGAGCAACAGCGGCAGACAAGGAUGAAGAUGUUGAUGUCAUGGUUGCCACUGCUAUGCAGAGCAAGCAAUGGAACAGAUGCCCCCGUUCUAAGCCUCAGUGAAAGAGCUGAACUGGAGAGAGUGUUGGAGCAAACAAUCGAAAUGCUGGGACAGGAGGAGGAGCAGGAAGAAGUGCUCUCCCAGUGGCUUCACCACUUCAUGUAUUGCCCAUCAUCCGACUGGCCUAAUCUUCAUGCCUCCUACACACGCUGGUGUGCUGCUUCUCGCAAGCUGUUACUUCUUCAGUGAAUGUGUAGCUGAAUUAGUCUUCCAGAAGAAGAUUCUUCACUAGCUAGAAAGUACAAGGUUUGUAGGUAUUGAUACCGCAGUAGCAUUUUAAG